UGCCCCGUGGCUUAGUUGGUUACGGCGUCCGACUGUUAUGUUCACGCCAUUGAAUAAUUGACAUCGGAAGAUCGAGAGUUCAAGUCUCUCCGGGGCAG
RNAcentral lists this transfer RNA (98 nucleotides) under Pleurotus eryngii. It matches the Rfam family "tRNA". From Rfam's summary of the family: Transfer RNA (tRNA) molecules are approximately 80 nucleotides in length. Their secondary structure includes four short double-helical elements and three loops (D, anti-codon, and T loops). The record is from Rfam by way of RNAcentral. Lineage: Eukaryota; Fungi; Basidiomycota; Agaricomycetes; Agaricales; Pleurotaceae.